RNAcentral lists this ribosomal RNA (465 nucleotides) under uncultured bacterium. RNAcentral describes it as "partial 16S ribosomal RNA". It matches the Rfam family "Bacterial small subunit ribosomal RNA", at positions 28 to 507 of the family's 1533-position model. The record is from RNAcentral.
GACGAACGCUGGCGGCGUGCUUAACACAUGCAAGUCGAACGGAAAGGCCCCUUUGGGGGUACUCGAGUGGCGAACGGGUGAGUAACACUUGAGUAACCUGCCCUUGACUUCGGGAUAACUUCAGGAAACUGGGGCUAAUACCGGAUAGGAAUCCUUGCUGCAUGGUGGGGGUUGGAAAGCUUCGGCGGUUUUGGAUGGACUCGCGGCUUAUCAGCUUGUUGGUGGGGUAGUGGCUUACCAAGGCUUUGACGGGUAGCCGGCCUGAGAGGGCGACCGGCCACAUUGGGACUGAGAUACGGCACAGACUCCUACGGGAGGCAGCAGUGGGGAAUAUUGCACAAUGGGCGGAAGCCUGAUGCAGCAACGCCGCGUGCGGGAUGACGGCCUUCGGGUUGUAAACCGCUUUCAGCAGGGGCGAAGCUUGUGGUGACGGUACCUGCAGAAGAAGCACCGGCUAACUACGUG